GUAGGUGGCAAGCGUUAUCCGGAAUUAUUGGGCGUAAAGCGCGCGUAGGCGGUUUUUUAAGUCUGAUGUGAAAGCCCACGGCUCAACCGUGGAGGGUCAUUGGAAACUGGAAAACUUGAGUGCAGAAGAGGAAAGUGGAAUUCCAUGUGUAGCGGUGAAAUGCGCAGAGAUAUGGAGGAACACCAGUGGCGAAGGCGACUUUCUGGUCUGUAACUGACGCUGAUGUGCGAAAGCGUGGGGAUCAAACAGGAUUAGAUACCCUGGUAGUCCACGCCGUAAACGAUGAGUGCUAAGUGUUAGUGGGUUUCCGCCCCUUAGUGCUGCAGCUAACGCAUUAAGCACUCCGCCUGGGGAGUACGACCGCAAGGUUG
RNAcentral lists this ribosomal RNA (371 nucleotides) under uncultured bacterium. RNAcentral describes it as "bacterial SSU rRNA". It matches the Rfam family "Bacterial small subunit ribosomal RNA", at positions 527 to 896 of the family's 1533-position model. The record is from RNAcentral.